This is a non-coding RNA of Labrus bergylta (ballan wrasse), 857 nucleotides long. The record is from RefSeq and is a predicted model, not a curated record. NCBI's taxonomy places the organism in Eukaryota, Metazoa, Chordata, Actinopteri, Labriformes, Labridae.
GGGAAGAAGUGUUACAAAUGGCGGACUACAGUGCGAAGCGUACGACGGAAGACCUUCCACCGGCUGGUCCCCCACCUAAAACAUAACGGCCUUUUGCUAGAACAGCAGACAAAGACCGGAGUAGAACUAGAAUCAACAUUGGGCUGGCUUUUCCACGAUGGAGAGCCCUACGCUCAACGAAGGGGCUCGAACACGAUACCCCGAUAGAUUCCUACUGGUCCAGGCAUAAACGUUUCUAUUUUUUAGUCACUGACUAGAGAAAAAAAACAAUAUCAUACGCUCUGCUUAUUUGAAUGGUUUGAAAAGGGUCCUGCAGGCCAGGAUUGUGUCGAGGAGGCUCUGUUCAGGAGCAGGGAUGCCCCUGACAAGGGAACAGCGUCCAGGCGACCCUCGGAAGCUUGGACCAUUGGCACCCAUUCCCCCCCCACCCACUGCAGAACUUGCUGAGAAACAACUCAGACGAGGUCUUGAUCCAGCACAGCCAGAAUGACAACAAGAGCUGUUGUGAAAGCACAUGGCCUCCUUUUCUACGAACAUUCAUCUGCAGUUUCUGGCUACAAGUACAGCUGCUGUAAUAUAGGAGGACUGCAUGCUGUGGUAAAACCAGUAAUUUGCUCCCCGCAUCAAAACAAAAGUGCCUUUUGCUUCGACCCUUGAACCAAUCACUUCAAACGCACUUUUUUUUUUUUAAUGCACUUUAUGGACUUUGUCAAACAAAUAUCCAUUUUGCACCAAUGGUGCUGUUUAAUCACAAGCUGCUAAGUUCAAUAAUACCAGCAUGGUCUAUUUUUUAUUUUCAAGAUGUACGAACACAUUUUGCAUUUUUUGUCUAAAUGUUCAGAGCAUUAUUUCAAAAA